This is a long non-coding RNA of Pipra filicauda (Wire-tailed manakin), 285 nucleotides long. RefSeq lists it as uncharacterized. The record is from RefSeq and is a predicted model, not a curated record. The transcript has 3 exons. Lineage: Eukaryota; Metazoa; Chordata; Aves; Passeriformes; Pipridae.
CUCCAUGGGUUGAGGAAGUCCCCCCAAACAGCAAAGUUUGAAUGCCUGUACAGAGCAGCAUCUCCUGGAGGCUCAGGAGCUCAGCCUACGCUCAGAUCAGUUGACUCAACGUGUAUUUUUAAGUCUACAACCACGGUGCAGUUUGAAAGGCUCAGAUCCCGCAGGGGAGUGACAAGGGAAGGGAGAACAAUUCCACCCAGGAUCCUGCAGAGUGAGGGAUUUCAUCUCACUGCCACAGUCUGGGAACGACACGUGGGUUGAAAGGCUCUGCCUGUUGCAGGAGGG